CCGGUCUUGGUCAACUGGAUAUUCCAUUUCUGGUUGUAGACCAGAUGGUUGGUGUUGCGGAACGGAAGCGUGUAGUUCGGAUCCUUAAAACUCGCC
Molecule: transfer RNA, 96 nt
Filed under: Serratia quinivorans
Lineage: Bacteria; Pseudomonadati; Pseudomonadota; Gammaproteobacteria; Enterobacterales; Yersiniaceae
Description: tRNA-Tyr(gta)
Source: RNAcentral